This 442-nucleotide ribosomal RNA is filed under the name uncultured bacterium. Its description in RNAcentral is "partial 16S ribosomal RNA". It matches the Rfam family "Bacterial small subunit ribosomal RNA", at positions 339 to 795 of the family's 1533-position model. The record is from RNAcentral.
CUACGGGGGGCUCCAGUGGGGGAUAUUGCACAAUGGAGGAAACUCUGAUGCAGCAACGCCGCGUGAGGGAAGAAGGUUUUCGGAUUGUAAACCUCUGUUUUUAGUGAAGAAAAAAAUGACGGUAGCUAAAGAGGAAGCCACGGCUAACUACGUGCCAGCAGCCGCGGUAAUACGUAGGUGGCAAGCGUUGUCCGGAUUUACUGGGUGUAAAGGGUGCGCAGGCGGGACUGCAAGUUGGAUGUGAAAAUCUGAGGCUCAACCUCAGAACUGCAUCCAAAACUGUGGUUCUUGAGUGGAGUAGAGGUAAGCGGAAUUCCGAGUGUAGCGGUGAAAUGCGUAGAUAUUCGGAGGAACACCAGUGGCGAAGGCGGCUUACUGGGCUCUAACUGACGCUGAGGCACGAAAGCAUGGGUAGCAAACAGGAUUAGAUACCCGCGUAGUC